AGGCCAUGAUGAGGGCACUGUAUGAGGAGGUCUUUGAAUCAUUCCAUACACCUAGAAAAUGAUUCGUUUGGUCUCUGACGAAACUGGAGAAUGUCGUUCCUAAGCUU
This 107-nucleotide small nucleolar RNA is filed under the name Cephalotus follicularis. RNAcentral describes it as "Plant small nucleolar RNA R71". It matches the Rfam family "Plant small nucleolar RNA R71". Rfam says of the family: R71 is a member of the C/D box family of snoRNAs containing the C (UGAUGA) and D (CUGA) box motifs. Multiple nearly identical copies of this snoRNA have been identified in Arabidopsis, and it is thought to function as a 2'-O-ribose methylation guide for 18S ribosomal RNA. Lineage: Eukaryota; Viridiplantae; Streptophyta; Magnoliopsida; Oxalidales; Cephalotaceae. The record is from Rfam by way of RNAcentral.